AGCCACGGCUAAUUCCGCGCCCGCAGCCGCGGUAAUACGGGAGUGGCAAGCGUUAUCCGGAAUUAUUCGGCGUAAAGCGUCCGCAGGCGGCCCAACAAGUCUGCUGAUUCAAAGUGGAGCUUAACUCCAUCAGGGCAGUGGAAACUGAAGGGCUUGACUGUGGUAGGGGCAGGGGGAAUUCCCGGUGUAGCGGUGAAAUGCCUACAUAUCGGGAACAACACCAGUGGCGAAGGCGCUCUGCUGGGCCUUCACUGACGCUCAUGGACGAAAGCCAGGGGAGCGAAAGGGAUUUGAUACCCCUGUAGUCCUGGCCGUAAACGAUGAACGCUAGCUGUCGGGGGAAUCGACCCCCCCCGGGGUCGUAGCCAACGGUAUAACGUU
This 381-nucleotide ribosomal RNA is filed under the name uncultured bacterium. RNAcentral describes it as "bacterial SSU rRNA". It matches the Rfam family "Bacterial small subunit ribosomal RNA", at positions 488 to 868 of the family's 1533-position model. The record is from RNAcentral.